GACGUAGGGGGCAAGCGUUGUCCGGAUUUAUUGGGCGUAAAGAGCUCGUAGGCGGCUCAGAAAGUCGGGUGUGAAACCUCCAGGCUCAACCUGGAGACGCCACCUGAUACUGCUGUGGCUAGAGUCCGGUAGGGGAACACGGAAUUCCCGGUGUAGCGGUGAAAUGCUUAGAUAUCGGGAGGAACACCAGUGGCGAAGGCGACUACCUGGCCCAUUCUUGACGCUGAGGCGCGAAAGCUAGGGGAGCGAACGGG
Molecule: ribosomal RNA, 254 nt
Filed under: uncultured bacterium
Lineage: Bacteria
Description: partial 16S ribosomal RNA
Rfam family: Bacterial small subunit ribosomal RNA
Source: RNAcentral